Molecule: ribosomal RNA, 395 nt
Filed under: uncultured bacterium
Lineage: Bacteria
Description: bacterial SSU rRNA
Rfam family: Bacterial small subunit ribosomal RNA
Source: RNAcentral
AGCGAACGUUUGCGGCGGGCUUAACACAUGCAAGUCGAACGGGCUGUUCCUUCGGGAGCAGUCAGUGGCGCACGGGUGCGUAACACGUAGGUAAUCAACCCUCUGGUUGGGGAUAACACUUCGAAAGGAGUGCUAAUACCCGGUAUGGCGCAGCGGUCUUCGGAUCGCGGCGAGAAAGACCCGCAAGGGUUGCCAGAGGACGAGCCUGCGGCCCAUCAGCUAGUUGGCGAGGUAACGGCUCACCAAGGCGAAGACGGGUAGCUGGUCUGAGAGGAUGAUCAGCCACACUGGAACUGAGACACGGUCCAGACUCCUACGGGAGGCAGCAGUGGGGAAUAUUGCGCAAUGGGCGAAAGCCUGACGCAGCCACGCCGCGUGAGCGAUGAAGGCCUUCG